Molecule: ribosomal RNA, 496 nt
Filed under: uncultured bacterium
Lineage: Bacteria
Description: partial 16S ribosomal RNA
Rfam family: Bacterial small subunit ribosomal RNA
Source: RNAcentral
AUGCACGCUGGCGGCGUGCCUCAUCCAUGCCAGUCGAGCGAACGGACGAGAAGCUUGCUUCUCUGAUGUUAGCGGCGGACGGGUGAGUAACACGUGGAUAACCUACCUAUAAGACUGGGAUAACUUCGGGAAACCAGAGCUAAUACCGGAUAAUAUUUUGAACCGCAUGGUUCAAAAGUGAAAGACGGUCUUGCUGUCACUUAUAGAUGGAUCCGCGCUGCAUUAGCUAGUUGGUAAGGUAACGGCUUACCAAGGCAACGAUGCAUAGCCGACCUGAGAGGGUGAUCGGCCACACUGGAACUGAGACACGGUCCAGACUCCUACGGGAGGCAGCAGUAGGGAAUCUUCCGCAAUGGGCGAAAGCCUGACGGAGCAACGCCGCGUGAGUGAUGAAGGUCUUCGGAUCGUAAAACUCUGUUAUUAGGGAAGAACAUAUGUGUAAGUAACUGUGCACAUCUUGACGGUACCUAAUCAGAAAGCCACGGCUAACUACGUG